Molecule: transfer RNA, 77 nt
Filed under: Lachnospiraceae bacterium
Lineage: Bacteria; Bacillati; Bacillota; Clostridia; Lachnospirales; Lachnospiraceae
Also listed under: 2 other names
Description: tRNA-Arg
Rfam family: tRNA
About the family: Transfer RNA (tRNA) molecules are approximately 80 nucleotides in length. Their secondary structure includes four short double-helical elements and three loops (D, anti-codon, and T loops). Further hydrogen bonds mediate the characteristic L-shaped molecular structure. tRNAs have two regions of fundamental functional importance: the anti-codon, which is responsible for specific mRNA codon recognition, and the 3' end, to which the tRNAs corresponding amino acid is attached (by aminoacyl-tRNA synthetases). tRNAs cope with the degeneracy of the genetic code in two manners: having more than one tRNA (with a specific anti-codon) for a particular amino acid; and 'wobble' base-pairing, i.e. permitting non-standard base-pairing at the 3rd anti-codon position.
Source: RNAcentral
GUCUGCGUAGCUCAGCUGGAUAGAGCGACCGCCUCCUAAGCGGUAGGUCAGAGGUUCAAAUCCUCCCGUGGACGCCA